AGGGAGGUGGCUGCGGCGCCCGGCGGGGCCACGGGCGUCGUGCGGGGCCGGGCCCUGCGCCGGCUGCGGGCCGCCACGGGGAAGCGCGGCUCGAAGCCGCGGCGCUGCGCCUCAGCGAUGGGCGGCACGCGCGGUGCCCGCCUCGCGGCUGGCGGAACGCUGCACAGCCAGCCCCGCUGCGCCGGGCUUUUUCGUCAGGGAGAGUUCUCAUUGUGUUAUUCUGGGAGAGCUCUUUGGUGCUCGGGUGGGUGCUGAGCGUUUCUCUUCUCAGAGAGGUUUCAGCGCUCGGGUCUUCUGCAGCCUUUCAGCACGGAGUCUCUGUGCCCUUAUUGCCUGCCGUUCCCAAGUUGGUGCCGGCGCCUGCCUGCGGCCCUUCCCCAUCCCCUGCACGCUGAGAGCUGCCCGGCCGCCUGGCUCUGACCCGCUGGCGGCUGCGUGGCAGCACCGUGACCUUGAGGCGCAUCGGGCACCCAGCGGGGCUCCGUGAGCCGUGGGCCCCCGGCGGGACCGCUGCUGCUCUCGGGGUGUUGGUGGGGGGAGCUCAGUGCUGCUGGCACUCUGCUCCCCAGCAGCCCCAGCCUACCGUGCACCACGAUUUCUUCUGCAUUCCCGAAUUUCUGUUGGCUUGCAAAGAGGAGGUCGUUUGACUGGUAGAAGGAAGGGUUUCCUAGUUUUAUCGCGGCACGUCAAUUCCUUUAUGCUUCUGGUACUGUCAGUGGAAAUGCUACCUUUAGCCGCAAACUUCUCCGUGGAUCACAACAGAGGUUUCUCAGCGUGGCAUUUUUUUCACCGUGUGAGCGAGUUUAACCCCCUGCUGUGUGUGUGAUAGGGUGAGCUCAGCACUAAAGCUGGUGGGUGCUGUGCCCUUACAGGUGCCACGACUAAAGGGCAGUGUGCAUCAGUAAUGGCUCGGUGCUAUGGCUGCAUUUCACUCCACUAACUUCUCCUGAGACUGUAUCUCAGUAUACAAAGUGCAGGUGAGGAAUUCAUAGAAUUGUAAAAUGAGUUAGGUUGGAAGGGGCCUUAAAGAUCAAGUUCCAACCCCUGUUAUGCAUGAAUUUUUUUCUUUGUGUGCCUGUGGUCAUCCAACUCCUAACAGACGUUUUCAUGCUGUUGCACUGAGAUCAGAAACUUUUUGAGAUGUGAUGUUCUUUGGGUGUGUGGUGUCCACUGCUGCAACUUCUACGUUCUUCGUGCUUUUGCAGGCUUUAUUAUAAUAUUCCUUCAAGACAGGGCUUCAUCUCUGGUGAAGGAAAGCACUGGAGUUACCAUUUCCUUGUAGAUUCAUUUUUGUAAGAAUUGGUCUCAAGGAUACCUACUUAAUUCUUUUUUUUUUUUUUUCCCCUUGGAAUAGUUAGCAACAGUCAAGUCAGAUCCCCAUCAGUGUUCUUGGCCUUGCAGAAAGGAGGGCCUCUGGUGUAGAAAAUCCAAAGAAGGGCAAUGAAGCUGAUGAGGGGUCAGGUGCACAAGUCUUAUGAAUGGCAUUUGACGGAGCUGAGAUUGUUCAGUCUGGAGAAGAGGAGGCUCAGAGGAGACCUUAUUACUCUCUACAACUGCCUGAAGGGAGGUUGUGGUGAGGUGAGGGUCAAUCUCUUCUCUUGUGUACCUGUGACAGGAUGAGAGGGAAUGGCCUCAAGUUACACCAGGGGAUGUUCAGGUUGGAUAUUAGGAAAAAAAAAUUCAGCAAGAGUGGUGGGGUAUUGGAACAGGCUGCCUAGGAAUGUGGUGGAGUCACCAACCAUGGAGGUGUUCAAGAACUGUGGAGAUGUGGCACUGAGGGACAUGGUUAGUGGGCAUGGGGGGGAUGGGUUGGCAGUUGGACUGCAUGAUCUUAGAGAUCUUUUCCAACUUUAAUGAUUCUGUGAUUCUAUUUUGACACCUGCUAGGGUUCAUGCUAAUGACAUGGUCCCCACCCUUGCUCGUGUAUUGAUUUCCUUCCCCCUUCCUCUUCAUCCCAACCCCAACGUUAGGUGCUGAAAUGAUGAAGCCAAGAGUAGCUCUACACUGUAACAGGCAAAAUGAAGCCCUCCUCUGAUUGAAGCUGUUGGUACUUGAUGUUUUCUAGAGCAAGAGUGAUCAGACAGAUCCUGAGAGAGCUGAUUCCCUCUUUCCUCUUUAAGUACUGUGAUAUCUUUGUGCUGUUCCUUGCCUUCUGUUACAGAAAGAUUGCCACACCACUUUAUAGCCUGUUAGCCCAGUGCUCUCUGGUGAAUCCUGCUCUGAGUUCACUUCUUCAGUUGUGACUUGUCAGUUUUCUGUGUUGAUCUUAUUUACUGUCCAGGUUCCAGAUAAACUCUACAGGAAUUUCUCCCAUUCCUGGGAAAGCCCUGGAUUAAAUUCACCUGCCAGAGCUCCCUGAUGACCUUCCAAUAACAUUGGCUCACUUUGAAAACAGUGAACAGAGCAUAGGACAGAAAAUAGGCUCUUGUAGAGCAGUAUGUCUCUACAGAGUCCCUAGGGGCUUUGUAAACUGCUCCUUCAUUUCUAGACGCUUGUUGGCUUUGUUGAGAUCUCCCUCUUUGGACACUGAAAGGCAUACCUGAGAUUUGCUGGUGUGAUUAUGGAAGCUCAUGUCAAUGUUUAAGUUCUGCUUUUUUUGCUGAAGAAGACAAAGAAUGGGUACAAGUAGUGCUUCCCUCCCCUCCUUCCUCACCAAAAAAAAAAAAAAAAAAAAAAAAAAACCCAAAACACAACAACAACAACAACAACAAACACCCAGGAAAUUUGUAUUCCCCACAGACAUGCAGAAAUCCCCUGAAAUAUCAUUUUGAGACACUGUUCACACUGUUCAGUUGGAAUAAAUGUUAAGAUUUUUGUCUCCGAAAGCAAUUAGUAAGGCCAGCUAUGAGGCCUCCCUAAGGUGGAAGAAGAAUUGGGUAAUCUGUUGGACAUCCAUCGAGUAUUAGGAAGGAGAGGUGAGAAAGAUGAUGUGAUUUAUGCAGUUGUGUGUCUGAAUUCUAGUUGAGGCUACCUCAGCUGUAUGACCAUCACCGGAUACAAACUGAGAGUUGGUGAUACUCCUCCAUAGUCUGCAGGACCAGCUCUGGGCCUUUUCCAUAAUGGUGGCCACAAACAGCAUAUGAUACUGUUGAGACCCCAGAAAUAUGGGGAAUAAUGUAGCAACAACAGUACGAUUUGGAACUUGAUGUGUAUUGAAAGCUAUUUCAUGUGAACAUCUCAUUUUUAUUGGAGAAGAGCAAAUACAUCAAUAUAUGGAGCUUGACAUGGGGGGUAAAAGUAACUUACCAGAAUAGCUUUUUCAUCAGACCCACAAUUCCUUUUGUUUUUUCUUGGUUCCACACUGUUUCCCAUGAAGUCUUCAUUACUUAGGAACUGUUUACAUGGGAAAGGGUCCUUUUUGUAGUUUUGAGUAGGAAGAUGUUGACAGUGUGAUGGACUAAAGAUGUAAUCAGAUAAGAUGUGCUUGGAAAGCCUUUCCUUUUGGUGUCAAGACAUGUCAUCUUUAAUUUGGUGAACAAUAUGAAAGGAGCAGACUGCAGAUCAUGGGCUGACUCCAGCCAUAUAGGUACAACAGAAAGCAGAAUUAGUGUCUGUAGGCACAAGUCUCCUUUUCUCCAGAGAAAUAGGGCAGCUUAGCCUACGGAAAGAACUUUAGUGUCAGCCGUGACAGAUGGAAGUGAAUUCUUUGCUAUUCAUGUGGUAGGAUAUGCUACAAGGCUCGCCAUAGGCCCAGAGGCUGUGUGCAGAAAGCUUUGAUUUCAUACCAGUCAUACAAAGAGUCUGCAAACCAGAUAAGGGGAAGCUGAUACCUAGUGAAAGGAUUUUGAUUGUAGGAUUAUAAACCUGACUGGUCAGGCCAAUAUCCUGUAUUGCUCCAGUCCUUUUUCUAACUGUGAUCAAGAGAUUAUGCUUAAGGAAAGGCCAAGAGGACACAUGAUCCAGCCUUCUUUCUAUGCACCUUGUAUGCUGGGGUGUUGGAGAAUGCCAUCCUUUUAGCAACUUUCCAGAAGUUCUUCCUUGAAUCCAUACAUUCUAGUUCUCCAGCUUAUUUCUGAGACCUAUUCCAUCCGUUUCACCCCAAAAGAUCCCACUUAAAUAUCACGUACCACUGAAAGUGCUCUUUGUUUUUUGUCGUCCUCUAAUUUUUUUUUUUUUCCUUUACUCUGUUACACAAUUUGAUAGCUCACCCAGAUUGCUGUUCUUGGCCUUCAUACACUGAAGGAGACCAUGCUUGCCAACUUCUUACUGGCAUGAUGUGGGAUGGCUGUGGUGGAUUAGAGCACCCAGUGUCACCCAGUGAUUGUGCCCACAGCUGAACACCCAGGGAGGAGCUGAAGGCUGCAGCCAGUGGGCAGUGCCAUUUUCCUGGAGGGCUCCCUCAGCUCUCAGUCAUUUGCCUUUUUAUCCGGUCAUGCUGCACCUCAACUUACCAUUCUUCAUGAGAGUCUGUCUUCCAGUACUCGUGCUGCUCAUGCACUUGAUGACUGGCAGGUUACCAUGCUGUCUUUUCACCUCACUAGCUCAGCUAUGUGCACAGAGCUAUCUCUACAGCCUUUCUUUUCCUCUCUUGUGAAUAGAUGUUCCUGACGGCAUACUACCAGUGAGCAGGUUUCACCAGUAAGAUCGUUGUUAGUCAGCAUAAAGGCCUACUGCUACAAGAUGUUCUUCUCUCCUUGGCACCACUGAUAGUUGGAAUGUAGUCUGAAAGUAGGAGUGUAUCUCAAAUUCUUUCUUCCCCCUCCACAAGCCUAAACUUAAUAAAUUCUUUUAUGUAUUCUCACUCAAACAUGGGGACUAUAUUGCUCUCCCUUCGUACAGGCAUUAGCCUGGUGCUCCUUUUGGUUGGAUGCUCCAUUAAAUUGUGUGCUUUUCUUUAAUUUCAUGCAGAAGGGAAAGUUGCUCAUCGUGACAUGACAUACCUCAGUCAGAGAACAGAAGUUGCCUUUGUGGUGAUAUUAUGUUAUGAGGUUCAGAGCUUUGUGUUUUAAUUACAUCUCAAACUAUUUGAACAGAAUCUGGAUGGUUUGGAUUCUAAAACGCAUUAGCUUAGGGAUGAUGCAACAAAGUUAUUAAAACGAAGUGGUUUCUUUAAAUCUUGCUUUCCUUGGAAGAAAAUGUUGGCUUCGGGCGGAUUUGCUUGGCUACUUCUAAGCAGAGGUGGCUGAACCCUGUGCUUUCAUGGAGGGCUGAGGACUUCUGCUUUCAAGGCAACUGUGGAGAGCAACUUGGCUGAACCUGAAAUGGAUCUGAGAUACCUUUCCUUCAUUGUGCUGGGGUUUCCAUUUGGCUAAGCCUACAAUGAACCACUUCAAGUAGCUCUAAGCUACUUACCUUCAUUAUUAGGGUGAAUAAUAGUUUUUUCUGCUGAUACAAGUCAUUGAACUGGACCGUGGUGGGCGGAAGUUCAAAGCUGACAGGGAUGAAGGUACUGCUUCUCUUCAUUGAAGGUAGUUUUUUAGACUGCAAAGCAGGAACCUGAAGUUGUGGAUCCAGGAUCAGCAUAUGUUUGUAGGUUAUGGAGGAGGAACUGUAGGUAAUGCAAUAUAACCACCACAGUGCUUCCAUUGAUUCUCAACUUUCUUCAUUAGUGUCUAAGCACCCAAAAACAUGUUUUGUCUUUAGUAAAAUGUGCAGUAGCUAAAGCAUGCUUUUUGAAAGAUGUCUGUCCAGCCUUGGUUUGAAGAGAGCAAGAGAUCUGAAAUCUGCCAUCUCCCAUGUUCCAGGUGCUGGUGCUUUCCUUAAGAAAAAAAACUCCCAUGAAAAAAAAACAAACAAUUUUCAGUCACAAAACCUCAGCUUCUAGCAGAAGAUGAGCAAGGCAGGGGAAGCCCUUCAGUUUUGUAAGUUUUGUUUUGUAGGAACAUGCUUCUGCGUGAAAUUACUUUGCCUUUCGGUUGCCUUUUAGAUAAGAUGCAGAUGUUUUAAAGAGUUUAGAUUUCAAAUGACCAUGAUGGCAUCCUACAGCCUUAUUUCAACUCCGGGUAUUUAGUGACUGUUAGGUAUGGAUGCUGACCUACUGGGGACUGUGAUAUUUCUCUCCCCAGUUGUAGGCAAAGCCAGAAUUGCCUUUUUUCCUGUUGUGCUCUGCAGGCGUGACCCAUAUGCCUUAUUCCUAAAUGUCUGAAUCUGAGCUUGGUUAUGCUAAGAAGUAUUUUAUGUGAGAUGCACUUCUGCUUUUCUUGACUCUUUCACCUCUGUGUCUAGAAAGAAUGAGGAGAGGUUACUCGUCAAGUAAAAGUGAGGCUGAUGAGGCUUUGCACAUUAAGCAGGAGGAAAAACAAAAAGGAAAAAUGAGAAAAACAGGAGGGAAAAGAAAAAGGCUGAAGCAUUCAGAAGGAAGGUAGUCAAAUGUUUUCUCAUUCUUACGAUGGUAUGAGGGAAAUGGCAGGAUGCAUUUGGGUUUUAGGCCUCAGGACUAGUAAUUGUGGCCGUUGAGUACUAUUAGAAGUGUUUCUCUGGUAGCCAGCUUACUCUGACACAUUGAACACAGAAUGCAUAAUUACACAUUUCAGAUUGAAAUCAGUUUGAAAAAUUGCUGUGAGCUUUUGCCAGCUCAGGUAUAAAUUUCUUAUGUCAUUUCUUUAAUAUAAUUAUGAAUGGAACUUUAAUUAUUUUUACAUUAAAAUAAGACUUACAACCCUAUGUGUUCUGUAAUAAGAAAGUCUCAGGAUCCAGUUAGCUGGCAGUGCAUUGGCAAAUUGAGGAUCAAAGUAUAAGUAUGGAUUAUUGCAACAAAUCUGCCCUGAGGAACAGAUUUUGAAGUGUUGUUUUUCUUCUCUUUUUCAAGAAUGACAUUCAAGAAAUUCUUCUGUCAGGCAUGUUGAUGUGGUGUAAUGUUUAGAGAGAUCUGUAGCAGAAUGAGAAGACACAUCCCCAAGUCAUAGAGCUGUUAAACUUGACAGAUAAGGAAACUUAUUCUCAUGGUUUAUGGAUGAGAAAUGAUAAUUUGCAUGGGCUGGGAGAAUGGAAGAGCAUGGUGACAGUUGUGGACUAGAUGGUAUUGUUGGCCCAUGUGGGAAUGUCUUACCUAGGGGCAACCAGGACAAACUAGGGGCAAUCAGAACUCUUCCAUGAACUUGGUAAAAUAAUUUCUCCUUGGAAACUGGAUCUUGCAGCAAUGCAGGAGUUAAACAGACCAUACUUGCGCCUACAAGAAUUUUCAUAAACCUUUCUAGGAUGUUCAGGCACAGAGGGAAAUCAGUGUGGGCCACAGCUGCUGCUGGCAUUGAUGGUAUUGUUUCCUUUGUUAAUAUUGUCUUUAGAUCAGCUACACGGGGAAACAAAUUCCUCUGGAAUAGUAGAUUGUUCAGAUAACAAUGAAAUCUGAGCUUCCAAUGUAAAAAAUGAGUUUUACACCUCUGGGCACUUUUGUCUUUGAGGGGAAAAAAAAAACGCUCAGAGAACUGCUGAAUAUGGUUGAGAAUGUACUGGGAUUUCCCAAGGGUAGGAGAAAAAGUGGGUCAGCCAUGAGGACAUCACCUUUGGGCAAUUCACCAGCUGUCUGUAAACUAAAAAAACUCUAAGGCUGCAGUUCAGAGAGUGUUGCUGUAGAUUUGCUUAAAACAGGAGGUAGAGGAAGAUUAAACGUGCUCUACUGAGCAUGCUCCAGCUAAGGGAGAGAUUUUUUUGUCUGAAACAUGGUAGAAAUAGUUGCAGGAGGGCUGCAGAGAGAUGGCUUAAGUGACUAACAGCUGGCAUGAUAAAAUGUUUCCAUCAGUCUCAGGAAAUCUCUUCUGUAUAAUUACAAACAAUCUCUGCUGUGAUCAGCAGUGAGCUUGAAGAACAGGAAAAAAUGUCCCACUUAGGCUCGUUUAGUCUGAUAUGAUGUAACAGUGCAGCAAGUGGCACUUGCCUCACUUACUUUAAUUUUUGUUAGAUUUUAGAAGGCUCUUGGCAGCACAAAGUCUUAGUGUUGUGUCUGUAAAUAUGUAGGCUUUUUUUUUUUUCAUGGAAAGUUAGAAGCAUCUGGGUUAGAAAAGGCAUCUAUAUGAUUGUCUAGUCCAACCAUCAAACCAUCACCACUGUGCCCACCAAGCCACAUCCCUAAGUGCCACAUCUACACAUUUCAUGUGGGAUUACAAACACAAGGUGCAGAGCUGGAGGAGCGCAUCCAAGGAGAGGUUCCUGACAUGUACAGUGCCAUGAGCGGUGAUCCUUGGGCUGGUGGCUUGUUUUCCAACACAUUGGAAUCCAGGUGUUAGAGGUGGAUGCUCUCACAAUCUGCAGCAAAUGCUCAAAAUCGGCCCUAGGCUUCACUAGUUUUAGUUUAUUUACAGUUUCAACAGUUCUUGUGAAGUUAGUGUUUCAUCCAAAGGUUACAGGUAACUUCAAUGGAAUACCUCAGUCUGACUCCUUCUAUAGAAUGCAUUUCUUUUUGUACAAACUGAGGUGGUCCCAGCUAGGAAAAUGCUGGAUGCAGACCCUUCUUCAUCCUCUGUCUUCCAGAAGUUGAGUCCAUGUAGCAAGUACGGUGUUCUCUACUCAGGCACUUAUUGUUAUGCUCUUAUCAUCUGAAUCUUCUUGCCCCAUCCCUGGAUGCAUUCAAGGCCAGGCUGGAUGUGGCUCUGGGCAGCCUGGUCUGGUGGUUGGUGAUCCUGCACAGAGCAGGGUAGUUGAAACUACAUGAUCAAUGUUGUCCUUUUCAACCCAGGGCAUUCUAUGAUUUUAUGUAUAGCUUUUUGAGGAGUUUCUUUCUUGAUAUUUGCAGUGACUUCAUCUAAGAUACGAUUCGACUGAAUAAGAUGAGUAUUAUUUUGCUGGAAUACAAGUUUAAAAUGGUUGGUCUCAAGCUGUAGGCCUUUUGGUCACUCUGCAAUAGGUUAUAUUUGUGACUAUUAAGCAGCUUGUUCCCAGUCUGUUGUAAAGCUGAGUCAGCUGCUCAAGGGGAAAUGCUGUUCCCCAAGACUAGUGGCUCCAGGCAGAGACUGCUGAGCAAAGCUCUGAAGAGAGGCUUGGAGUGGUCUCAUGGAGGAUGGUGAGUAAUAAGCUCCCCACAAAAGCCCUCUGCAGGGAGGAAGCAGAGGAAUUGCCUUGGAGAGAUGCUUUGGGGUACAAAACGGUCAAUUAAACACACUAAUCCAGGAGCAGCUGCUGUGAACGUAUACAGUCUUGAAGAAAAGACCUCCAAGAGCAUCAUGUCCAACCACUGACCCACCCCCACCAUGCCCACUAACCACAUCCCUCAGUGCUACAUCUCCACUGUUCUUGAACACUUCCAGGCGCAGUGACCACCAGCCUCUGCAGCCUGUUCCAAUCUCUGCAUGAUGUUUAAAGGUGUUGGGUGCAGGCUGAGCUUGAUCCCAGAACCAUAGAAUCAUAGAAUGGCUCUGAUUGGAAGGGACCUUAAAGACCAUCCGGUUCUAGCCUCCAAGAAGUAUAACCUCUGGUAGCUCUUGCUUUUGUUCAGAUAUAUUUGUUCUGACUACCAGCAUACUACUCAAGCUUUGCAAGUAGCAAUCAAUACUGGCUCUGCAGGUAGCAGAUAAGCUUAAACUCCUGUUAGUGCUCAUUUUAAGCAUACUGUGAUAUUUGUCUGUUACGUUAAAAGAGGUUACGUUGGUUAUGAUGCAGGAGGAGUUUCUUGGUUUCCAUUUAUUUAAUUUUCUGCUUGGUGCAAAAAUAGGGGCAAUUUGAUUCAAGGAGAUUGGAAGAAAGUAAUAGACUAAUUCUCCUUUAGAUAGCUGGUCUUGGCACAGAAAUAACUGCUGUAUCUGACUGCUUUGUAAUGUAUGCUAAUUCAGUCUCUGAAAGAACGUAUUAAUGCAUUAAUGUCCAACCUUUUGGCUUGCCUGGGACACACUGAGUGAAAAGGAAUUGUCUUGGGCCACAUCUAUGAAGACUGCUCUGGAAGUAAUGCCUCCUAAUUAUUUCCAUGAAAAAUAUAACCAGUACAAUAACACUGUUUAAUGGAGUGAAUUCUCAGCUACAAAGCACUAUUUUUUCUUCACAGCCACCACCAUUAGUUACGCAUUUGGACCAGCAAUGAACAAGAGCCUGCACGCCAUACUCAUAACAAUUUGCACCAGUAGAGGUGACCCACUGUUUUGUUGCCGCUGCUGAAAUGUACCACCCACCGCCUCACUGUGUGGCAUCCACUGUUUGGUCUCCAAAAACAUUCAGGAAGUGCCAACGAAUGUCAGUGGCUGCCACUGUUUCUGCAUGGAGGAAUUCAAGUCCACACUUUUACUCCAUAUGUAAUUCCAUGUCAGGUGCCAUUCUGUCACAUGGCAACAAAAUACAGCAGAAUACUGGUGGGAAGGUUCAACCUCUACUGCCACCUCACCAAUAUCUGCCUUUAUGCCAACUGGAAAUGGAGUAGCAAAUCAACAGGUGAAAUUGAUAAUGUUUAUGGCGCAUAUCACAGAGGAGCCAAUAAGCCACAACUGCUAGGAGUUGAGCUUGCUCUCUGAGCAGGAUUCAGCACAGCAGAGGCAGGUGAUGAAGGAAGAUGUGUCUGCAAGGAACAAUUCAGAACCUUUCGAGCUCCUGCUGUCAGACUUACCCUAACAUAUGACUUGUUUCAAAUUGCUGUUUCAAAUUCAGCAGGAGGUAUGAUGUGUUCUGGGGCUGAAGUACUGUUAGUGCAGUGCAAUGUAUUCUCUUCCAAUCAAUUCUCUUAUAUUGUUGUAUGCAUUUCUAUCCUAAUAAUAGAAUGCUGGUGCAUAGUGCAGCUUAGUUACAUAUCCUCAAAUCUUUGUAUAUUUUUGUUGCUUUAACACAAGGUGUUUCAUUUUUAUAAUUGGUAUUGUGUGCUGGAAACAGAUAAAGUUCGUAGAACAGUGAGAGAGGAUGAGUGCCUGCUGUUAAUCCUGCUGUUGACUGAGCCCAACUUCUGCUGCUCGGUUGUACUUGGAAGCUUUGCUGCUGUUCUUUCUUACUUCUAAACACUCCUAAUCCUUCUUUUACAUUCUCAUUCUCUGCUACAUCAGUUUCAUUUUGGCCUAAUGCUGGUAAACCUUUGUCUUCGUGAGAUCUUUUAAAGCAAUGCUCAUGAUGGGAACAGUUAAGUUAUGCUUAAGUUCUACUUAAAACAUUUUUUUUCUUCCUCUCAUUCACAUAUUGGAGAGAGAGAUUGAACUGACUUCCAGGCUGCACUUUACUGGCAUUGCUGCUUUUGUUUUUCAGAUGUCUGGCCGUAUCUCACCUAAAAAGCCUUCGUUCACGUCAACUUCUUAAGAUACCAUUGGGAUCUGCAGUUAAGGCUUCCAAUGGUGAGGAUGUGUCCUGAAAUAGAGUGCCUUAUUGCAAUUCCUCAACAGUGAGAUUAAGACACUUAAGACUGUCCCAGGACCUUUAGUAAGAUGGUGAGAGACAGACGUCCAGAGCUUUGUUCUGCUGUUUAAUAACCACCCUGAGUCUGAUGGCUUUUCAACUUGGCUGUAUUUUGAACGCUACUAACAAAGCAUACCAAGACUGAAAUGAACUAAUAUGGGAAAGAUGUCAUAUGAUUAGUAGAGCUUUCUUCAAGGAAGAGAGCCAAGAGAAUAUCUGGGGUAGAGAAUAAGAGCAGGGAAAGCAUAUAAAAUGUCUUACCGGAACGCUUAUAUCUCCUUCAGCAAUCUGUGGACUGACAGCUUCUUAAACUAAAGGUGAAAUGUUUGUAUGCAGCUCUUUAACGGAUUUUUAAUUGUUAUUUAUUUAAAUGAAUUUGUCAAGUCAGUUUACAAAUCUCUGCUAGUAUUUGGAGUGAAGAGUUCUUCAGCUAGCAGCUUCUGGGAAGUUCCUUUUGCUCACUGUGAGUUGAUCUCCUGAUGAACACAGAUGUGAACCAGGCGGAUGCAUUUGAUGUAAGGCUCUCCCUGACUGAUAGGUUACAACAUUGGGCAUUGCACUGAAAUAAUUCUCAUGCGGACUUUCCUCCUAAUUUUACUACUGUUGCCACUCAUAGUCACGCUCUUCUGUUGGUCUAGGUGUUCAAUUGCUGCUAUAUUACAUCAGUUUUCUUACAAGCUGCCUUAAAAUUAAAGAGACCGUUUAACCACGUGUGCUCUUCACUGGAGCUGAACAUAUAGCAGAGCAGCGUGUUGGAAUACUUAGUGAGGC
Molecule: long non-coding RNA, 12003 nt
Filed under: Gallus gallus (chicken)
Lineage: Eukaryota; Metazoa; Chordata; Aves; Galliformes; Phasianidae
Source: RNAcentral